Molecule: small RNA, 1742 nt
Filed under: Pan troglodytes (chimpanzee)
Lineage: Eukaryota; Metazoa; Chordata; Mammalia; Primates; Hominidae
Description: retained intron
Source: RNAcentral
AGUUCUGGAGAACGCCAUCAGCUCGCUGCUUAAAAUUAAACCACAGGUUCCAUUAUGGGUCGACUUGAUGGGAAAGUCAUCAUCCUGACAGCCGCUGCUCAGGGGAUUGGCCAAGCAGCUGCCUUAGCUUUUGCAAGAGAAGGUGCCAAAGUCAUAGCCACAGACAUUAAUGAGUCCAAACUUCAGGAACUGGAAAAGUACCCAGGUAUUCAAACUCGUGUCCUUGAUGUCACAAAGAAGAAACAAAUUGAUCAGUUUGCCAAUGAAGUUGAGAGACUUGAUGUUCUCUUUAAUGUUGCUGGUUUUGUCCAUCAUGGAACUGUCCUGGAUUGUGAGGAGAAAGACUGGGACUUCUCGAUGAAUCUCAAUGUGCGCAGCAUGUACCUGAUGAUCAAGGCAUUCCUUCCUAAAAUGCUUGCUCAGAAAUCUGGCAAUAUUAUCAACAUGUCUUCUGUGGCUUCCAGCGUCAAAGGUGGGUCUGUCUCCUUCUGAGGACUGUGAUGCUCAUACACACACAUCAUUAAGAGCUCUGCGUUUGGGAACAGGCAUAGCAGAGAUUAUAAUUUCAAGUAUUGAAAUGAUUUCAAAACUGCUUUUUUCAAAAUUGGUAUUAAGUUCCUUAACCACAGAUCUUUUGCUCUCGAUGUGAGCCAGUGGUAAAAUUAAAUUAAAAUGUGGGGUAUUUUUGCCCUCCCUUUUAUUCUUUCUAAUGGACAUGGAAAUGAACAUCAAACUGGGAGAAAGAACCAUUUAACAUUUAAUUAAUUUAAAAUAGUGUAUUGAGCACCGGUAUGUGCUCUGGCCAUAAAAGAAUUCACAGUCCAAAACUAGGAGCAAGGCAGCAAACAUCAUCUUCCCCAGUGUGAUGAUAUAUAACAGAGGUUUGUACAAAGCGCUGUCAAAAUACAGGGAAAUAACUGCCUGUGAGUUUGUGGAAUGCUUCACAAAGACAGUUGAUCUGAGCCAUCAGCGAGAAGUCAAGUUGAAGGACAAGGACAGCAGUGCAAAAUGUGGAUUAUGUCACAAUCUGGCAUAGUUGGAUCUGUGAGUUUAAAAUGAAAUAGUUACUGCUGAGAUAACAUUUCUUCUCUUUGCAAGGAUACACAUAUUCAACAUACACAAGAGAGGAAUGUAAAGAAGUGCCUAGGCCUCCUGUUUUAUUGUUUUGUUUUGUUAUUAAUCUUCAUUUUCUUUUGGAAUCUGCCUAAGAGUUAUGGCAACUGAUGAUGAGAAACUAAGACUACCAAUGUUAAGAGUUGUGAACAGAUGUGUGUACAGCACAACCAAGGCAGCCGUGAUUGGCCUCACAAAAUCUGUGGCUGCAGAUUUCAUCCAGCAGGGCAUCAGGUGCAACUGUGUGUGCCCAGGAACAGUUGAUACGCCAUCUCUACAAGAAAGAAUACAAGCUAGAGGAAAUCCUGAAGAGGCACGGAAUGAUUUCCUGAAGAGACAAAAGACGGGAAGAUUCGCAACUGCAGAAGAAAUAGCCAUGCUCUGCGUGUAUUUGGCUUCUGAUGAAUCUGCUUAUGUAACUGGUAACCCUGUCAUCAUUGAUGGAGGCUGGAGCUUGUGAUUUUAGGAUCUCCAUGGUGGGAAGGAAGGCAGGCCCUUCCUAUCCACAGUGAACCUGGUUACGAAGAAAACUCACCAAUCAUCUCCUUCCUGUUAAUCGCAUGUUAAUGAAAAUAAGCUCUUUUUAAUGAUGUCACUGUUUGCAAGAGUCUGAUUCUUUAAGUAUAUUA